RNAcentral lists this ribosomal RNA (440 nucleotides) under uncultured bacterium. Its description in RNAcentral is "partial 16S ribosomal RNA". It matches the Rfam family "Bacterial small subunit ribosomal RNA", at positions 338 to 795 of the family's 1533-position model. The record is from RNAcentral.
CCUACGGGUGGCUGCAGUAGGGAAUAUUGCUCAAUGGCGGAAACCCUGAAGCAGCAACGCCGCGUGGAGGAUGAAGGUUUUCGGAUUGUAAACUCCUUUUGUUAGAGAAGAUAAUGACGGUAUCUAACGAAUAAGCACCGGCUAACUCCGUGCCAGCAGCCGCGGUAAUACGGAGGCUGCAAGCGUUACUCGGAAUCACUGGGCGUAAAGCGCGCGUAGGCGGGAUAGCAAGUCAGAUGUGAAAUCUUAUGGCUUAACCAUAGAACUGCAUUUGAAACUGUUAUUCUAGAGUAUGGGAGAGGUAGGUGGAAUUCUUGGUGUAGCGGUAAAAUGCGUAGAGAUCAAGAGGAAUACUGAUUGCGAAGGCGACCUGCUAGAACAUAACUGACGCUGAUGCGCGAAAGCGUGGGGAGCAAACAGGAUUAGAUACCCCAGUAGUC